AACCAGCUGUUUGUCUACAUAAAGACUUGCACCGGGCACGGACCUCCCUCGGUUCCCCGCCUGCCCUGUCAGCUUCUGGACUUUUACCGUUUUGGAAAGCUCCCGGAAGGUAUAUGAAGACUGUUGGACACGGCUGGAACAGGAGUCAGGAAACGACCGUCAUCCAGUCCAAAUAAAGUUGCCUGAUGGCAGAUUUUUAUGACUGAUCCCAGAAUUCAUCCAACCGCCAACCAGCAUUCGUCCUCGAGAGCUGUGGAGUGUGACAAUGGUGUUUGUGUCCUGUCAAUCAAACGCCAUCAUCACACUAAAUAGCUACAGGGUGGAAAAAACACGAAUCGGACCGCCCCUGAUUUUCUCAAAAUGGCUACCAUAAAAAAUCUUUAGCCUUGAUUAAUGAAUUAAUUUUAUAUAGAAUUAAAAAUGAAACACUUUACAUAAUUUAGAUAAUUUUCUCAAAGUUGUUGAUUGAAAAUUUUACAAUGAAAGCAGACAAUCGGGACCCCCUCGUGGAAUUUUGUGGUGUGAAUACAUACAGUAAAAAAUAAAAUGCACCCAAGAUUUUGUGACAUCAUUUAUUUUGGCGUCUGGCAUUUUGGUUCAAAGUGACCAUUUUAAGGUCAUUAUUGAGAUGUCCAUCAAAGAAAAAGUUUCAUGACUCAACAUAAAACACAAAAUGUUAAAACUGGUAAAUCAGGAUUGUCCAUUUCCUGUCAUGACUGCAUAUCUCAAGUUUUCAACAAUCAAGAAAAGCACGUUUUAUUCCA
This is a long non-coding RNA of Syngnathus acus (greater pipefish), 764 nucleotides long. RefSeq lists it as uncharacterized. The transcript is spliced from 2 exons. NCBI's taxonomy places the organism in Eukaryota, Metazoa, Chordata, Actinopteri, Syngnathiformes, Syngnathidae. The record is from RefSeq and is a predicted model, not a curated record.